RNAcentral lists this RNase P RNA (316 nucleotides) under uncultured Faecalibacillus sp. RNAcentral describes it as "Bacterial RNase P class B". It matches the Rfam family "Bacterial RNase P class B". Rfam says of the family: Ribonuclease P (RNase P) is a ubiquitous endoribonuclease, found in archaea, bacteria and eukarya as well as chloroplasts and mitochondria. The record is from RNAcentral. Lineage: Bacteria; Bacillati; Bacillota; Erysipelotrichia; Erysipelotrichales; Coprobacillaceae.
AGGUAAUCGCUACUUGAUAGUAGAGGAAAGUCCAGGCUGCCACAAUCUGCGAUGAUUGUAGUGUUUGUGCCUCACGAAUCAAUAAGUGAGGGUAGUGUAAACUAACGACAGAAGCAAGACCUAAGGGUAACUAUGGUUGAAAUUCAUAAAUGGCUCCACAGAGACAAUGCUAUAGGAAACUAUAGGUGAAAAGAGGAAAGCUCCGCAAGGCAGAAACCCAAAUUUGGUAGGGGAAUCGAUUGAUUUGGAAUUGAACGAAUCAUCGGACGUGAAAACGUAGAUAAAUGAUUAUCUGAAAUACAGAACUUGGCUUAUU